CAUGUUCGUGUAUCGGCGGCGAGCCGGUAGCCACAAUUUGAUAUGGUUACGGUAUACUGUAUGAGUACAGUACCUGAGAAGAUAGCAAAAGCGAGAGAAAAAACGUGAAGAAGAUGGCUAUGUGGAGUUGGAAUUAAAAACCAAAAAGGACCAUUUUGUUCCGUCCAGGAGUCAUUUUCGUGGGUUGGGGAGUCCGGUACUUUUCAAUUUCCGGUGUUGAAUUAUCAUGUACUAACCCUUUGUACUCUAAAAUUAUAAGAUGUUCUACUGUACCUUUUAUUGUAAGUCAUUUAAAAAAAAGAUUUGACAAAGAUUAUGUAAAAGUAUAGCAAUGUACUAUGCAAUAACUAAAAAGUAUAAUAUGAUGAUGCACACUAUGAUGAUUUAUAAUAAAAACUAAUUUGCAGUUCUAGACGUUGGUAGAUUGUUCUCAAACUUGGUCAAAUUCUAAGAGAUUUGAUUUAGGACAAAACUAGAACAUCUUGUAAACAGAUAGAGUAGAACACUCCGAUUCUUAUUAAAAAUUAUUUCACAAUAGAAAAACAUGGUAUCUACCUCUAAGAAAUAUUGGCAGCUUGACCACGGAUAAAAAUAAAUGAAAACAUCCAAACAAAAUAAACAAAUAAAGCUUCAAAAAAAUGUUGAAGGUACCAUAAUGUCUCGGAAUUUUGAAGCUCGUAAUAUCAGAAAAUAGAUCAAAUUAAAAUGUAUUGAAGU
RNAcentral lists this long non-coding RNA (717 nucleotides) under Brachypodium distachyon (stiff brome). RNAcentral describes it as "long non-coding RNA (BDIS_LNC000117)". Lineage: Eukaryota; Viridiplantae; Streptophyta; Magnoliopsida; Poales; Poaceae. The record is from RNAcentral.